CUUGACAUUAGAAUGAAGGUGCUACGUCCACAAAUUAAACCGUAAAUCUUUUGAAAAUACAUGCGAAAUGUUCUAUAUCCUUGUCAAAAAGUUCUCGUUCACCACAAACCCCUCAAAAUCUAAACGUUGUUUAACAGGGCAGUGGACUAACGCGAUUCAUAAUGCAAAAAUAAUCACCUGUAAAAAAAUUUUAAUUAAAGCAGAAAAUUCUCUAUGAAAUUACAAAGCUCUAAAACCCUUAAUUGUUUCUUACAGCAUCAAGUAUUUCAGUUUAGAAAAGCCAAUUAAUGGUAAUGUUGCCAAGCCAUGUG
RNAcentral lists this unclassified non-coding RNA (311 nucleotides) under Hevea brasiliensis (rubber tree). Lineage: Eukaryota; Viridiplantae; Streptophyta; Magnoliopsida; Malpighiales; Euphorbiaceae. The record is from RNAcentral.